UCCCGGGAUGCAUAACAAAUCUCUUUGUCCAGACAUUGUUCCUCUGGUUGUCCAAUGCUUUGAAGUUUCAGCAGUAGACAUUCCAUUAAUUGACUGCUUGCACUCUGAUCCAAUUUAUUGCAUUUGCUAAGAUCCAUCAUCAGACAGGAAUUCAUAUAUCCUUGUAUGAAUGAGCUCGAUACAGAUUCCAGAGAUGUGCAGUUUUCUGCAAAUAACCUCAUUAGACC
RNAcentral lists this unclassified non-coding RNA (227 nucleotides) under Hevea brasiliensis (rubber tree). The record is from RNAcentral. Lineage: Eukaryota; Viridiplantae; Streptophyta; Magnoliopsida; Malpighiales; Euphorbiaceae.